AAAUAUGAAAGUGAACUAGCUGUAAUGUCUAUCACUUUGCUGAUCAUCAGGUUACUCUGACUAAUCUAGCUGGCCAAGCAGGUAUCUCUUCCCUCCUGCAUCACGUUAUAUACAACACUUUCAAAACUUCAUGCUUGGUCCAGGAGUAUCUAGAUAGAAGAUGCUAGCUCUUCAAUCUCUUAGUAAAAAUCACCCC
Molecule: small nuclear RNA, 196 nt
Filed under: Tursiops truncatus (common bottlenose dolphin)
Lineage: Eukaryota; Metazoa; Chordata; Mammalia; Artiodactyla; Delphinidae
Description: 7SK RNA (ENSTTRG00000025065.1)
Rfam family: 7SK RNA
About the family: 7SK was discovered as an abundant small nuclear RNA in the mid-70s but a possible function has only recently been suggested. Two independent studies have found that 7SK RNA binds the CDK9/cyclin T complex (known as elongation factor P-TEFb). P-TEFb activates transcription by phosphorylating the C-terminal domain of RNA polymerase II.
Source: RNAcentral